CUGCCACAACGGCUUCCUGACGUGGCGGGGUUACACAAACGGAGCA
This 46-nucleotide non-coding RNA is filed under the name unclassified sequences. Its description in RNAcentral is "SAM-SAH-Weickhmann-2018 RNA". It matches the Rfam family "SAM/SAH riboswitch aptamer". The record is from RNAcentral.